CCUUUUCCUUAUUUGCCAGCGGGUUAAGCCGGGAACUUUAAGGAUACUGCCAGUGACAAACUGGAGGAAGGCGGGGACGACGUCAAGUCAUCAUGGCCCUUACGACCAGGGCUACACACGUGCUACAAUGGUCGGUACAAAGGGUUGCUACCUAGCGAUAUGAUGCUAAUCUCAAAAAGCCGAUCGUAGUCCGGAUUGGAGUCUGCAACUCGACUCCAUGAAGUCGGAAUCGCUAGUAAUCGCGGAUCGGAAUGCCGCGGUGAAUACGUUCCCGGGCCUUGUACACACCGCCCGUCACACCAUGGGAAUUUGUUGCACCAGAAGUAGGUAGUCUAACCGCAAGGAGGACGCUUACCACGGUGUGGCCGAUGACUGGGGUG
RNAcentral lists this ribosomal RNA (380 nucleotides) under Acinetobacter sp. 1722b. RNAcentral's name for it is "bacterial SSU rRNA". It matches the Rfam family "Bacterial small subunit ribosomal RNA", at positions 1103 to 1482 of the family's 1533-position model. Lineage: Bacteria; Pseudomonadati; Pseudomonadota; Gammaproteobacteria; Moraxellales; Moraxellaceae. The record is from RNAcentral.